Molecule: ribosomal RNA, 1955 nt
Filed under: Salmonella enterica subsp. enterica serovar Poona
Lineage: Bacteria; Pseudomonadati; Pseudomonadota; Gammaproteobacteria; Enterobacterales; Enterobacteriaceae
Description: partial 23S ribosomal RNA
Rfam family: Bacterial large subunit ribosomal RNA
Source: RNAcentral
GGCCAUCCCGGCUUACCAACCCGAUGCAAACUGCGAAUACCGGAGAAUGUUAUCACGGGAGACACACGGCGGGUGCUAACGUCCGUCGUGAAGAGGGAAACAACCCAGACCGCCAGCUAAGGUCCCAAAGUCAUGGUUAAGUGGGAAACGAUGUGGGAAGGCCCAGACAGCCAGGAUGUUGGCUUAGAAGCAGCCAUCAUUUAAAGAAAGCGUAAUAGCUCACUGGUCGAGUCGGCCUGCGCGGAAGAUGUAACGGGGCUAAACCAUGCACCGAAGCUGCGGCAGCGACACUAUGUGUUGUUGGGUAGGGGAGCGUUCUGUAAGCCUGUGAAGGUGGCCUGUGAGGGUUGCUGGAGGUAUCAGAAGUGCGAAUGCUGACAUAAGUAACGAUAAAGCGGGUGAAAAGCCCGCUCGCCGGAAGACCAAGGGUUCCUGUCCAACGUUAAUCGGGGCAGGGUGAGUCGACCCCUAAGGCGAGGCCGAAAGGCGUAGUCGAUGGGAAACGGGUUAAUAUUCCCGUACUUGGUGUUACUGCGAAGGGGGGACGGAGAAGGCUAUGUUGGCCGGGCGACGGUUGUCCCGGUUUAAGCGUGUAGGUGUGUGUUCCAGGUAAAUCCGGUUCACUUUAACACUGAGGCGUGAUGACGAGGCACUACGGUGCUGAAGCAACAAAUGCCCUGCUUCCAGGAAAAGCCUCUAAGCAUCAGGUAACAUCAAAUCGUACCCCAAACCGACACAGGUGGUCAGGUAGAGAAUACCAAGGCGCUUGAGAGAACUCGGGUGAAGGAACUAGGCAAAAUGGUGCCGUAACUUCGGGAGAAGGCACGCUGACAUGUAGGUGAAGUGAUUUACUCAUGGAGCUGAAGUCAGUCGAAGAUACCAGCUGGCUGCAACUGUUUAUUAAAAACACAGCACUGUGCAAACACGAAAGUGGACGUAUACGGUGUGACGCCUGCCCGGUGCCGGAAGGUUAAUUGAUGGGGUCAGCGCAAGCGAAGCUCCUGAUCGAAGCCCCGGUAAACGGCGGCCGUAACUAUAACGGUCCUAAGGUAGCGAAAUUCCUUGUCGGGUAAGUUCCGACCUGCACGAAUGGCGUAAUGAUGGCCAGGCUGUCUCCACCCGAGACUCAGUGAAAUUGAACUCGCUGUGAAGAUGCAGUGUACCCGCGGCAAGACGGAAAGACCCCGUGAACCUUUACUAUAGCUUGACACUGAACAUUGAGCCUUGAUGUGUAGGAUAGGUGGGAGGCUUUGAAGUGUGGACGCCAGUCUGCAUGGAGCCGACCUUGAAAUACCACCCUUUAAUGUUUGAUGUUCUAACGUGGACCCGUAAUCCGGGUUGCGGACAGUGUCUGGUGGGUAGUUUGACUGGGGCGGUCUCCUCCUAAAGAGUAACGGAGGAGCACGAAGGUUGGCUAAUCCUGGUCGGACAUCAGGAGGUUAGUGCAAUGGCAUAAGCCAGCUUGACUGCGAGCGUGACGGCGCGAGCAGGUGCGAAAGCAGGUCAUAGUGAUCCGGUGGUUCUGAAUGGAAGGGCCAUCGCUCAACGGAUAAAAGGUACUCCGGGGAUAACAGGCUGAUACCGCCCAAGAGUUCAUAUCGACGGCGGUGUUUGGCACCUCGAUGUCGGCUCAUCACAUCCUGGGGCUGAAGUAGGUCCCAAGGGUAUGGCUGUUCGCCAUUUAAAGUGGUACGCGAGCUGGGUUUAGAACGUCGUGAGACAGUUCGGUCCCUAUCUGCCGUGGGCGCUGGAGAACUGAGGGGGGCUGCUCCUAGUACGAGAGGACCGGAGUGGACGCAUCACUGGUGUUCGGGUUGUCAUGCCAAUGGCACUGCCCGGUAGCUAAAUGCGGAAGAGAUAAGUGCUGAAAGCAUCUAAGCACGAAACUUGCCCCGAGAUGAGUUCUCCCUGAGACUUUAGGUCUCCUGAAGGAACGUUGAAGACGACGACGUUGA